UUCCUCUUAGUUAAAGAGGUAAGGCCUGCUCACUGAGUAAUUAAAGAGCCGCAGUAUCCUAACUGUGCUAAGGUAGCAUAAUCAUUAGCCUUUUAAUUGAAGGCUGGUAUGAAUGGCUAAACGAGAAAUUGACUUUUUUUAUUAUAAACAUCGAAUUUAAUUUUUUAGUGAAAAAGCUAAAAUUAUUUAGAAAGACGAGAAGACCCUAUAGAGUUUUAUAUAAAAGGUUAAUUUAUUUCAUUAGUUUUGGAAAAAUUCAUUAAUUCUAUAUAUUUUGUUGGGGCGACAUUAAGAUAAAAAAAACUCUUUAUUUUUUAAACUUUUAUAAAAGUUUAGCUUGAUCCUUUAAAAAAGAUCAUAAGAAAAAAUUACCUUAGGGAUAACAGCGUAAUCUUUUUUGAGAGUUCUAAUCGACAAAAAGGUUUGCGACCUCGAUGUUGGACUAAAAUUUAGGCAAGGUGCAGCAGUUUUGCUUUAGGGUCUGUUCGACCCAUAAUAUUUUACGUGAUCUGAGGUUUCAGACCG
RNAcentral lists this ribosomal RNA (525 nucleotides) under Austrominius modestus. RNAcentral describes it as "partial 16S ribosomal RNA". It matches the Rfam family "Bacterial large subunit ribosomal RNA", at positions 1834 to 2618 of the family's 2925-position model. Lineage: Eukaryota; Metazoa; Arthropoda; Thecostraca; Balanomorpha; Elminiidae. The record is from RNAcentral.